AGUGGCGGACGGGUGAGUAACGCGUGAGAAUCUGCCUUGGGGUCGGGGACAACCACUGGAAACGGUGGCUAAUACCGGAUAAGCCGAUUGGUGAAAGAUUUAUUGCCCGAAGAGGAGCUCGCGUCUGAUUAGCUAGUUGGUGAGGUAAGAGCUCACCAAGGCAGCGAUCAGUAGCUGGUCUGAGAGGACGAUCAGCCACACUGGGACUGAGACACGGCCCAGACUCCUACGGGAGGCAGCAGUGGGGAAUUUUCCGCAAUGGGCGAAAGCCUGACGGAGCAAGACCGCGUGAGGGAGGAAGGCUCUUGGGUUGUAAACCUCUUUUCUCAGGGAAGAAGCUCUGACGGUACCUGAGGAAUCAGCCUCGGCUAACUCCGUGCCAGCAGCCGCGGUAAUACGGAGGAGGCAAGCGUUAUCCGGAAUUAUUGGGCGUAAAGCGUCCGCAGGUGGCGAUUCAAGUCUGCUGUCAAAGCACGGGGCUUAACUCCGUAAAGGCAGUGGAAACUGAAUAGCUAGAGUCCGUAGGGGUAGAGGGAAUUCCCGGUGUAGCGGUGAAAUGCGUAGAGAUCGGGAAGAACAUCGGUGGCGAAAGCGCUCUACUGGACGGCAACUGACACUCAGGGACGAAAGCUAGGGGAGCGAAUGGGAUUAGAUACCCC
This 659-nucleotide ribosomal RNA is filed under the name uncultured bacterium. RNAcentral describes it as "bacterial SSU rRNA". It matches the Rfam family "Bacterial small subunit ribosomal RNA", at positions 94 to 788 of the family's 1533-position model. The record is from RNAcentral.